RNAcentral lists this ribosomal RNA (253 nucleotides) under uncultured bacterium. RNAcentral's name for it is "partial 16S ribosomal RNA". It matches the Rfam family "Bacterial small subunit ribosomal RNA", at positions 524 to 776 of the family's 1533-position model. The record is from RNAcentral.
GACGAACCAUGCAAACGUUAUUCGGAUUCACUGGGCUUAAAGCGUGCGCAGGCGGUUCGCCAAGUCAGGUGUGAAAUCCCCGGGCUUAACCUGGGAAUUGCGCCUGAAACUAGCGGGCUUGAGUGUGGCAGAGGGGGGUGGAAUUCCACGUGUAGCAGUGAAAUGCGUAGAGAUGUGGAGGAACACCGAUGGCGAAGGCAGCCCCCUGGGUCAACACUGACGCUCAUGCACGAAAGCGUGGGGAGCAAACAGG